This is a non-coding RNA of Camellia sinensis, 977 nucleotides long. Lineage: Eukaryota; Viridiplantae; Streptophyta; Magnoliopsida; Ericales; Theaceae. The record is from RefSeq and is a predicted model, not a curated record.
CAAUCCCUGCCCUGUUAUUCUUCGUGUCCAUGGAGAGAGAAACCAGAAACAAGUAGACACAGAACUCUAUACAAUGAUACAGAAGCAGAUACGAGGGAGCGAGAGAGUAGAGAGAGAGAGCGAGAGAGAGAGAGAGAGAGAGAUGGAGCAUCAGGAGCAAGAGCAGGAACAUGAAGUGUACGGAGGAGAUAUACCCGAUGAAGGAGAGAUGGAUGCCGAUGUCGACAUGUCUAGGGCUGAAGACGACGACCUCAACUCAACUCCAAGGUCGUGGAGGACAUGAAGAAGAGACUCAAGGAGAUUGAAGAAGAAGCAGGCGCCCUUCGCGAAAUGCAAUCCAAAGUUGAAAAGGAAAUGGGCGCCGUUCAAGGUCCUCUCUCUCUUUCUCUCUGUUCCUGAUCGAUCUUUGGUUAUGCUACUUUUGUAUCAACAACAGAGUUGGAUGAAUUGUUCAAUUAUAGUUUUUUUGGUUCUCCGCUAUGUAUUUGGUCAGUGAUUAAUAUGAAUUAGCAUUAAUGAUGUUGAGGAAAUUGAAAUUGAAAUUGAUGAUAAAUUGUUCAAUAUGCAAAGUGUUGUUAACUUACCAUUAAUGUUGCUACUACACAUUUAUUGGGUUUUGGAGGUGUGCUCAAUGUUACAAGAUUCUUAGACAGUGUAAUUAUGCCUUUAUAUAACAACUAUUGUAUAACAUGUGGUAAAAUCAAUUUUUAAAUUUUUUUUGCCAUAUUUGUUCAACAUAAUUUAUUUUAUAGUUUAAACUGUUGAAUCUAACAAUUUUCUAUUCAAUUUAAUUCACGAUUCUCAAAAUUAGAAUUUACAUCUUUUAUGACACUCGCAAUUUGACAACUAUGAGUACGUUAAGAUUACAUUAAAGAAAAUUUUAAUUCCCUCAAUAGCUUAGAUCGUAUAGUAUAUAAAUUUUAUAUAAAAAUAAGAAUUGAGCUAAAAAUAAAAGGGUCUUGUUAUGCUUUAAAAAU